RNAcentral lists this transfer RNA (76 nucleotides) under Fusobacterium ulcerans. RNAcentral describes it as "tRNA-Gly". It matches the Rfam family "tRNA". Rfam says of the family: Transfer RNA (tRNA) molecules are approximately 80 nucleotides in length. Their secondary structure includes four short double-helical elements and three loops (D, anti-codon, and T loops). Further hydrogen bonds mediate the characteristic L-shaped molecular structure. tRNAs have two regions of fundamental functional importance: the anti-codon, which is responsible for specific mRNA codon recognition, and the 3' end, to which the tRNAs corresponding amino acid is attached (by aminoacyl-tRNA synthetases). tRNAs cope with the degeneracy of the genetic code in two manners: having more than one tRNA (with a specific anti-codon) for a particular amino acid; and 'wobble' base-pairing, i.e. permitting non-standard base-pairing at the 3rd anti-codon position. RNAcentral also lists the same sequence under 1 other name. The record is from RNAcentral. Lineage: Bacteria; Fusobacteriati; Fusobacteriota; Fusobacteriia; Fusobacteriales; Fusobacteriaceae.
GUGCCUAUAGUGUUAGUGGCUAGCAUAUCAGUCUUCCAAACUGAAGGGGUGGGUUCAAGUCCCAUUAGGCACUCCA